UGUUCGGGUAGUGAGAGAUGUUCUUGAAACUUAAAGGUUUUGGCGGUUUUCUUGUUCUUUUCAGAGGAAUUUGUUCUUUAAUCGAUGUUCCUCGUGCUAUUUUACUUAAUUUGAAGUGGUUUGUAUAUCGCUGUUGAUGAUAUCUCUGUUGUGUGAUAUUAUUUGGUUUGUUCCUGUUAAAUCAAGUCAAGGUGCAGCUUAGUUAAGGUUGAAAUGAGUUACUAUAGGUUAUUGUGGAGAUYGUAGUGGAAGAGUCUUUUGAGAUUGAAUUUGAGAGUAAUUUGGAAGUAAGUAAGUUUUAAUGAAAUAAGUUUAAGAAAAUGU
Molecule: ribosomal RNA, 324 nt
Filed under: Cryptocellus peckorum
Lineage: Eukaryota; Metazoa; Arthropoda; Arachnida; Ricinulei; Ricinoididae
Description: partial small subunit ribosomal RNA
Source: RNAcentral